Long non-coding RNA from Micropterus dolomieu (smallmouth bass), 240 nucleotides. RefSeq lists it as uncharacterized. The record is from RefSeq and is a predicted model, not a curated record. NCBI's taxonomy places the organism in Eukaryota, Metazoa, Chordata, Actinopteri, Centrarchiformes, Centrarchidae. The transcript has 3 exons.
CCUAACCUCCUCCCGAGGAGGGUUUAUUGUAGGUUUUCUCAGAGUCAUGUACCCCUGCUGUUUCUGAAAAUACAUUAGAAAGAGCUCACAUACACACACAGGCUAACAGCUGACAGCUAAUGAGCUCGACCAUCAUCACCAUGUCUUAGAAUGUCAAGAAGAGGUCGUGUAGCUGCACCGGCUCUACAUUUCAGCGUUUUGCAACUUGAGGAUUAGAGCGGACUAGUAGGAAAGUUGAAA